Molecule: long non-coding RNA, 557 nt
Organism: Mirounga angustirostris (Northern elephant seal)
Lineage: Eukaryota; Metazoa; Chordata; Mammalia; Carnivora; Phocidae
Exons: 3
Source: RefSeq, a predicted model, not a curated record
UCCUUGGCUCCUCCGUGCGUCCCUUCACCAUCCGCUUGUCGCUACAUGGUAUUUGAGGGGAAGCCUACCAAGGCAGACGCUGUUUUGGGACCUGGCACUGAAUCGGAAAAAUAAACGAACGGGCAAAUUCAGAUCCUAACAACCAGCUUUGCUGAGUGUGGAGUAUGUGCCCGGCGCUGGGGAUUGCUCGUGUACCGCACCUCUCAUGGUUCCUGCCUCCGUACACCUUGCAUUCUAGAUUCCCCGUUUGCUACAUACAGACGUAAGACCGUACGUGUACAUAAUACCCCAAAUUGCCGAGGUGGAGAAGCUGAAGGGAUUCCAUCUUAGAAAGGCUCCGUCUUGGGCGUCUAGGUGGCUCAGUCGUUAAGCAUCUGCCUUCGGCUCAGGUCAUGAUCCUAGAGUCCUGGGAUCUAGCCCCUCAUCGGGCUCCCUGCUCAGUGGGGAGCCUGCUUCUCCCUCUCCCACUCCUCCUACUUGUGUUCCCUCUCUCUCUAUCAAAUAAAUAAAUAAAAAUCUAAAAAAGAAAAGAAAGACUCCAUCUCUGCUGUUUUUCU